GAUGAACGCUGGCGGCGUGCCUAAUACAUGCAAGUCGAGCGAACGGACGAGAAGCUUGCUUUUCUGAUGUUAGCGGCGGACGGGUGAGUAACACGUGGAUAACCUACCUAUAAGACUGGGAUAACUUCGGGAAACCGGAGCUAAUACCGGAUAAUAUUUUGAACCGCAUGGUUCAAAAGUGAAAGACGGUCUUGCUGUCACUUAUAGAUGGAUCCGCGCUGCAUUAGCUAGUUGGUAAGGUAACGGCUUACCAAGGCAACGAUGCAUAGCCGACCUGAGAGGGUGAUCGGCCACACUGGAACUGAGACACGGUCCAGACUCCUACGGGAGGCAGCAGUAGGGAAACUUCCGCAAUGGGCGAAAGCCUGACGGAGCAACGCCGCGUGAGUGAUGAAGGUCUUCGGAUCGUAAAACUCUGUUAUUAGGGAAGAACAUAUGUGUAAGUAACUGUGCACAUCUUGACGGUACCUAAUCAGAAAGCCACGGCUAACUACGUG
RNAcentral lists this ribosomal RNA (497 nucleotides) under uncultured bacterium. Its description in RNAcentral is "partial 16S ribosomal RNA". It matches the Rfam family "Bacterial small subunit ribosomal RNA", at positions 28 to 507 of the family's 1533-position model. The record is from RNAcentral.